AUUUUAAGUUAGAAACAGACUCAGUGGUGCUUGAGUGGGAUGGGUGAGGUCUAGUGAACGGAGCCCAGGAUCCAUGUAAAUCCUCAGUGAACACUUUCUUACAGGAGAUUAGGCAGCUGGUAAAACAUGAAGGCCUGGUCGAGGGAAACAGGCCUUCAGGGGGUCUGAUGCACUAUUGUCCUGAACUCUACUGCUUUGAAUGCAUGGCUUCGUGGGUUAUAGCUCCUUAUCUGCUCCUUGAAGUGAAUGAUAGCUACAAAUGGUCCCUGGAUUCAGGCAUCCCUGGCCCAUACAUCUCUCCACCUAACCCUUAACCUCAGCUCCUAAGGCUUGACUGCUGAAUGAAUGUUCUGUCAACUGGAUACCUCUGGGGAGGGAUCAUGUUCUUGAGAGCAUGUCCCAAUGAAGUUUCUGUAUGGAAAUCUUCACUGCAGAAUAUUAGCCCACGGAACCAGAUGGAAGACAAUAUGCUUGAUGGAGGUGGAGUGUUGAUGGAGAAGCAAGAUGAAUCUUAUCCCAUGGGACCCCAGCCAGGAAGAGCAGACUCUUACAAGGAACAGUACAAUGAUAAGACUAGGCACCACACAACAAAGGGCCAACUUUAUAGCUCAGACUUAGCGUGACCAUAUAUCAGAGUUGUCCCAGGACAGGCCCUGUUACAGCUGUUGUCCUGAUGGUUAUGAUUAAGUAUUCCAGUUUGUAUAUCAAAUUGCAUGGUCAGCUUUCCCAGAUUCUAUGGGUUAUAAGGAUGUAGAUGACAGGCCAAUGUGGGCUGCAGCAGGGUGAGUAGAGAAGACUAUGUAGGGUGGCCUCUGACUGGACUUUGAGAGAUGUGCAGGAAUUGUGUUACAUGUCAGUGUCUAGGUAUCACUGUGGGUAGAAGUGAAAAAGCAUGGACAGGGCAUGAAAGGUAGAAAUAUAUAUGUGUGGGGGAGGGGGGAAGCAGUAGCAUCAGGAGGAGGAGAAGGAGAAAGAGAAAAGGGAGGAGGAAGAGGAGGAGACUCAUUAUUGGAAUGGCAUAAGGAGUUUGUUAAUGGGUGUCCUUUUAUGAAUAUAUAAAGCAAGAAAAUUGACACACUGGUCAUAGAGGAGACAAGUGCCCACAGAAAGAAUCAUGCGACACAUCCUUAUAUGUCUUGGGAAAAAUAAAAUGGAGAAAGGGAACAGAUGGCUCGCCUCCCACUGUCUGAGGCCAGACCAUUUUGCUUCUCUGGGCAACACUAUCCUUUCAUCUCUAA
Molecule: long non-coding RNA, 1238 nt
Organism: Pan troglodytes (chimpanzee)
Lineage: Eukaryota; Metazoa; Chordata; Mammalia; Primates; Hominidae
Exons: 3
Source: RefSeq, a predicted model, not a curated record